AUGAACGCUGGCGGCGUGCCUAAUACAUGCAAGUCGAGCGAACAGACGAGGAGCUUGCUCCUCUGACGUUAGCGGCGGACGGGUGAGUAACACGUGGAUAACCUACCUAUAAGACUGGGAUAACUUCGGUAAACCGGAGCUAAUACCGGAUAAUAUAUUGAACCGCAUGGUUCAAUAGUGAAAGACGGUUUUGCUGUCACUUAUAGAUGGAUCCGCGCCGCAUUAGCUAGUUGGUAAGGUAACGGCUUACCAAGGCAACGAUGCGUAGCCGACCUGAGAGGAUGAUCGGCCACACUGGAACUGAGACACGGUCCAGACUCCUAAGGGAGGCAGCAGUAGGGAAUCUUCCGCAAUGGGCGAAAGCCUGACGGAGCAACGCCGCGUGAGUGAUGAAGGUCUUCGGAUCGUAAAACUCUGUUAUUAGGGAAGAACAAAUGUGUAAGUAACUAUGCACGUCUUGACGGUACCUAAUCAGAAAGACACGGAUAACUACGUG
RNAcentral lists this ribosomal RNA (496 nucleotides) under uncultured bacterium. RNAcentral describes it as "partial 16S ribosomal RNA". It matches the Rfam family "Bacterial small subunit ribosomal RNA", at positions 29 to 507 of the family's 1533-position model. The record is from RNAcentral.